GAGCUCUACAUUUUCAUUUUAAUGGCUAUGUAUAUUGGCAUUCCACUGUGUGGAUGUACAUCAUCCAGGUUCAUGUGAAGUGUCCAGCUGACUGCAGUCACGCAAGAGAUUCUAGUGAAGAGGAAGAACCAUGUGAAGAGGAAGAACCACCAACUGAGCCUGGCUAACUCUCAGAAUCAUGAAAAUAAAUAACUGAAACACUAAGAAUUCUGAGAGGAACUUCGUUAUACUCAGACCUUCAUCUGCUUUAGAGUCUCAGCUGAGAAUAACCGUAUCAUCUGUCAACUUCUGCAUUUGGAGAACCAAGAGUUAGAAGUGAGCUCCCACUUGUUAUGGUCUCUGAGUAAAUAGAGA
Long non-coding RNA from Lagenorhynchus albirostris (white-beaked dolphin), 354 nucleotides. RefSeq lists it as uncharacterized. Lineage: Eukaryota; Metazoa; Chordata; Mammalia; Artiodactyla; Delphinidae. The transcript has 3 exons. The record is from RefSeq and is a predicted model, not a curated record.